GACAGAGGGUGCAAACGUUGCUCGGAAUUACUGGGCGUAAAGCGCGUGUAGGCGGUUCCGCAAGUCAGGUGUGAAAGCCCAGGGCUCAACCCUGGGAUGCCGGUCGAUACUGCCGGACUAGAGUUCGGAAGAGGCGAGUGGAAUUCCCGGUGUAGCGGUGAAAUGCGCAGAUAUCGGGAGGAACACCUAUGGCGAAGGCAGCUCGCUGGGACGUUACUGACGCUGAGACGCGAAAGCGUGGGGAGCGAACAGG
This 253-nucleotide ribosomal RNA is filed under the name uncultured bacterium. Its description in RNAcentral is "partial 16S ribosomal RNA". It matches the Rfam family "Bacterial small subunit ribosomal RNA", at positions 524 to 776 of the family's 1533-position model. The record is from RNAcentral.